Molecule: ribosomal RNA, 640 nt
Filed under: Pseudomonas sp.
Lineage: Bacteria; Pseudomonadati; Pseudomonadota; Gammaproteobacteria; Pseudomonadales; Pseudomonadaceae
Description: bacterial SSU rRNA
Rfam family: Bacterial small subunit ribosomal RNA
Source: RNAcentral
AGCGGUAGAGAGGUGCUUGCACCUCUUGAGAGCGGCGGACGGGUGAGUAAUACCUAGGAAUCUGCCUGGUAGUGGGGGAUAACGUUCGGAAACGGACGCUAAUACCGCAUACGUCCUACGGGAGAAAGCAGGGGACCUUCGGGCCUUGCGCUAUCAGAUGAGCCUAGGUCGGAUUAGCUAGUUGGUGAGGUAAUGGCUCACCAAGGCUACGAUCCGUAACUGGUCUGAGAGGAUGAUCAGUCACACUGGAACUGAGACACGGUCCAGACUCCUACGGGAGGCAGCAGUGGGGAAUAUUGGACAAUGGGCGAAAGCCUGAUCCAGCCAUGCCGCGUGUGUGAAGAAGGUCUUCGGAUUGUAAAGCACUUUAAGUUGGGAGGAAGGGCAUUAACCUAAUACGUUAGUGUUUUGACGUUACCGACAGAAUAAGCACCGGCUAACUCUGUGCCAGCAGCCGCGGUAAUACAGAGGGUGCAAGCGUUAAUCGGAAUUACUGGGCGUAAAGCGCGCGUAGGUGGUUUGUUAAGUUGAAUGUGAAAUCCCCGGGCUCAACCUGGGAACUGCAUCCAAAACUGGCAAGCUAGAGUAUGGUAGAGGGUAGUGGAAUUUCCUGUGUAGCGGUGAAAUGCGUAGAUAUAGG